ACUCAAAUGAAUAGACGGGGGCCCGCACAAGCGGUGGAACAUGUGGUUCAAUUCGACGCUACGCGAAGAACCUCACCACGGCUUGACAUGCAGGAAGUAGCAAACCGAAAGGGGCGCUACCUGUCAAGUCAGGAGCCUGCACAGGUGCUGCAUGGCUGUCGUCAGCUCGUGUCGUGAGAUGUUGGGUUAAGUCCCGCAACGAGCGCAACCAUCAUCUUUAGUUGCUACUUUCAAAGCCGCAAGGCCUAGGGAGGCACUCUAGAGAGACUGCCCGCGAUAAGCGGGAGGAAGGUGGAGAUGACGUCAAGUCAGUACGGCCUUUAUGCCGUGGGCUACACACGUGUUACAAUGCCUACUACAAAGCGUUGCCAACCCGCGAGGGGGAGCUAAUCGCAAAAAGGUAGGCCCAGUUCAGAUUGGAGUCUGCAAUUCGACUCCAUGAAGACGGAAUCGCUAGUAAUGGCGGAUCAGCUACGCCGCCGUGAAUACGUUCCCGGGCCUUGUACACACCGCCCGU
RNAcentral lists this ribosomal RNA (517 nucleotides) under uncultured bacterium. Its description in RNAcentral is "bacterial SSU rRNA". It matches the Rfam family "Bacterial small subunit ribosomal RNA", at positions 899 to 1397 of the family's 1533-position model. The record is from RNAcentral.